AGCCGUGCAAUGAGAAUAGAGCAAAUUAUUCUUUUACCUUUUACAAUAGAAUACUGUGUGCUUGCCGCAGACAGUGGCAUACGCUUAUUUUUGGAGGGUUUCCGAUUACUAGAAACAC
This is a small nuclear RNA of Mangifera indica (mango), 118 nucleotides long. RefSeq annotates it as U5 spliceosomal RNA. NCBI's taxonomy places the organism in Eukaryota, Viridiplantae, Streptophyta, Magnoliopsida, Sapindales, Anacardiaceae. The record is from RefSeq and is a predicted model, not a curated record. The transcript has a single exon.